Molecule: ribosomal RNA, 468 nt
Filed under: uncultured bacterium
Lineage: Bacteria
Description: partial 16S ribosomal RNA
Rfam family: Bacterial small subunit ribosomal RNA
Source: RNAcentral
GACGAACGCUGGCGGCGUGCUUAACACAUGCAAGUCGAACGGAAAGGCCCUGCUUUUGUGGGGUGCUCGAGUGGCGAACGGGUGAGUAACACGUGAGUAACCUGCCCUUGACUUUGGGAUAACUUCAGGAAACUGGGGCUAAUACCGGAUAGGAGCUCCUGCUGCAUGGUGGGGGUUGGAAAGUUUCGGCGGUUGGGGAUGGACUCGCGGCUUAUCAGCUUGUUGGUGGAGUAGUGGCUUACCAAGGCUUUGACGGGUAGCCGGCCUGAGAGGGUGACCGGCCACAAUGGGACUGAGAUACGGCCCAGACGCCUACGUGAGGCAGCAGUGGGGAAUAUUGCGCAAUGGGCGGAAGCCUGAUGCAGCAACGCCGCGUGCGGGAUGACGGCCUUCGGGUUGUAAACCGCUUUCGCCUGUGACGAAGCGUGAGUGACGGUAAUGAGUAAAGAAGCACCGGCUAACUACGUG